GCCAUUAAUUCGAAAUAUGAAUCGCAUGCAAGACAAACCGAUUGUUGUUUCAUAAAUUAACUAUUUAUCUAUAUUACUUCAUCAUUUGAUAAUCCAUACGACUUUGAAUUCCGUAGCACACCAUCACCAUUUCUAAACGGUUGUUGGUUGUUAGCCAUCACCUAUUUCGCCUCACCAAUCUACCGUCAGUGCUCUUCCAAUCGCGCACCGCAGCGAACAACAUGUCACAACCGUCGCACGCUAGAGCGGCGCCACUGUCCAUCAUCUGAAACAUCAAUGGGAGGUGUUUGGCCCUCAUCCUCGCUCUCUACUUUUCGAUUGUACCAACUAAAAUUGUUUUGUCAUUUCAGGGUGAUUUAAUCAUUUGUUAUAUCUCGUGUACUCAUGUGGUAAUUCUCGUGAAUUGACUCUUCGCAACCUGUUUUCAAAGUUGAUGAUCAAGUGAUGUGGACACGUAGCAUGGGCCUUAGUAAAAUAAAUUGAAAUCUUGAUAUGUUUGUUUUAAACAAUGUAUGAACAAUUUUGAUUAUUAUAUGUUAUGUGACUAUUUAAAUGGA
Molecule: long non-coding RNA, 557 nt
Organism: Helianthus annuus (common sunflower)
Lineage: Eukaryota; Viridiplantae; Streptophyta; Magnoliopsida; Asterales; Asteraceae
Exons: 3
Source: RefSeq, a predicted model, not a curated record